This 8002-nucleotide long non-coding RNA is filed under the name Sus scrofa (pig). Its description in RNAcentral is "lncRNA (ENSSSCG00025037812.1)". The record is from RNAcentral. Lineage: Eukaryota; Metazoa; Chordata; Mammalia; Artiodactyla; Suidae.
AAAAAUAAACAAAACCCCUGGAGUUCCUGUCGUGGCUCAGGGGUUGACGAAUCCGACUAGGAACCAUGGGGUUGAGGGUUCAAUCCCUGGCCUUGCUCAGUAGGUUGAGGAUCUGGCGUUGCUGUGAGCUGUGGUGUAGGUUGCAGACGCGUCUCAGACCCCGCAUUGCUGUGGCUCUGGCGUAGGCUGGCGGCUGCAGCUCCGAUUUGACCCCUAGCCUGGGAACCUCCAUGUGCUGAGGGAGCGGGCCUAGAAAUGGCAAUAAACAAACAAACAAAUAAAAAAACACCCUGAAACCUCAAACUAACACAAAACGAAACAAACAAAAAAAAUACUGUAAAUAAAGCUAAAAGGCAAGUGAAAAUAACAGAAGGUAUUUGAAAAAUAUAUGGCAAAGCAUUAGGACUAAUGUUUUUUAACACAGAGCAUUCUUUCCAAUUUCUAUGAAUAAAAUGAAGUUUCUGCUUCUUUUCCUUUUUCUAGGGUUAAAGGCAGUCAAAAUGGGCUACGUUUGGCAUACAACAUAGGCUAGCUGAUGCCAUAGCCUCUGAUGAAAUCGAGCUGUCCUGAGCCCCUGGUUUUAGAAUUGUUUACUUUUAUGCCAAGAAUGAGGUAGCACCAAAAUCCACCCAUGGCGAGUGCCCAGGUCAAUGUCAAGGGGUUCGUGCCGGGAGACGGAGUGUUCCCGUGAAUGCCUAGAACAGAAAACCAUGUCAUAUGGACCCCUGGCGCCUCUAGGGCUGCUAAGUAUGUCCAGGACUGGAUCAAGUGUACUUUUCUUACUGAGGAGCAGAAAAUCACCAGCAAAGUGUUGAAGGCACAAGCACAGACUCAGAAAGCUAAAUGCAAAAACGCAGCUUUUUUGAAUAAUCACUUUUUUAAAAAAUCAAAAGGUUGGUAGGGAGUUCAAAUUAUGGCUCAGCGGGUUAAGAACCUGACUAGUACCCAUGAAGAUGCGGGUUUGAUCUCUGGCCUUGCUCAGUGGGUUAAGGAUCCAGCAUUGCCACCGGCUGCGGCAUGGGUCACAGAUUUGGCUCAGCUCUGGAACUGCUGUGGCUGUCGCAUAGGCCAGCAACUGUGAUUCUGAUUUGAUCCUUAGCCUGGGAAUUUCCAUAUGCCACAGGUGCAGACCUAACAAAAACAAAAACAAAAACAAAAAAUCAUAAGUUUUGUUAAACAAUUAAGUCAGGGUAAGGGGACAGGCAUAUUUUCAUCCAAAUUGGGGAUAUAUCUGGGGUGAUCUGAUUUUAAAUAUAGCCCAUAUGUUAUACCAGGAAUCUGUUUGGGGUGACGCAUAGGGAAAUCAAGGGAGGUAGGCAGUCCUACUGAGGGCGGCUAAGCCUGAAGUUCAGAGUGAGGCUCUUGAGGUGCCCACUGGGCAGACACACCUGUUAGCGUGGUACCCACCCUAGGUAAACUAAGGGAGCUGUCAGGACUGGAUGCAAUAACCCAGGUGGGGAGCUACCCUCAGUGCCUCGCAUAUUCGCUUGUUCAUUCAUUUAUUUAGUAAUUCUUUUUUCUUUUUAAGGCUGAACCUGUGGCACAUGGAGGUUCCCAUAAUAGGGGUCAAAUCCAAGCUGCAACUACAGGCCUAUGCCACAGCCACAGCAACUCAGGAUCCGAGCUGCAUCUGUGACCUACACCUCAGCUUACAGCAAUGCUGGAUCUUUAACCCACUGACAGAUAUGAAGGAUCAAACCUGCAUCCUUAUCGAUAUUAGUCGGGUUCUUAACAGAGCCACAAUGGAACUCCCUAUGCAGGAAUUUUUGAGGGACUGCUGUGUACCAGGCACUCUGUAGGUGCUGGGGAUAUAGCACUGAACAAAAUAGAUGCUAAGUUUUACCCUCCCAGGGCUCAUAUUCUUGCCACAGCUGCAGCAAUGCCAAGUCCUUAACCCACUUCACCACAGCAGGAACUCCCCAGGGCUCACAUUCUAAUGACACAUAGUAAACAACCAUAAAAUGUAGCUAGCAUUAUAAUGUAAUACAAAAGAUGCACAAAUUAAAAACCAAAAUAUAAAUCCUCCAUACACUGUUGAUAGGAAUGUAAAUUGGUACAGCCACUGUGGAAAACAGUAUGGAGGUUCCUCCAAAAAACUAAAAGUAGAACUACCAUAUGACCUAGCAAUGGUUUAUCUGAAAAAAAAAAAAAAAAACAAAAACUCUUAAUUUGAAAAGAUAUAUGCACUCCAAUGAUCACAGCAGCACUAUUCAAAUAGUGAAGACAUGGAAACAACCUAAAUGUCCAUCGACAGAGGAAUGGAUAAAGAAGAUGUGGUAUAUGUAUACAAUGGAAUAGUACUCAGCCAUAAAAAAGAAUGGAAAUCUGUCUUUUGCAGCAACAUAGAUGGACUUGGAGGGCAUUAUGCUAAGUGAAAUAAGUCAGACAAAGACAAACACUGUAUGAUAUCACUUAUAGAUGGAACCUAAAAAAUACAACAAACUAGCAAAUAUAACAGAAAAGCAGCAGACCAGUGGUUACCAGUGGGGAGAGGGGAGGGGAUAGAGCAACAUAGGGGUAGGGGACUGAGACGUACAAACCAUUACGUGUAAAAUAAGCUACAAAGGAGUUUCCUUGUGACUCAGCAAGUUAAGUAUCCAGCAUUGUCACUGCAGCACCUGGGAACUUCCACAUUCCAUGGGUGCGCCCCUACCCCCACCCCCACAAAAAGUAAAAUAAGCUAUAAGGAUAUAUUGCAUAACAUGGGGAAUAGAGCCAAUAUUUUAUAACAAGUAUAAAUGGAGUACGACCCUUUUUUUUUUUUUUCUUUUUAGGCAUAUGCAACUUCCUGGUCUAGGGGUUGAAUGGGAACUGCAGCUGCCAGCCUACACCACAGCGACAUUAACGCCAGAUCCGAGCCACUUCUGUGACCUAUGCUGCAGCUCGCAGCAACACCUGAUUCUUAAUCAACUGAGCGAGGCCGGGGAUCAAACCCGAAUCCUCAUGGAUACUAGCCUGGUUCUUAACCUGCUGAGCCACGAGGGAAACAGGAGUAUAACCUUUAAAGUUAGGGAUCACUAUAUUGUACACCUAUAACACAAUAUUGUCCAUCAACUCUACAUCAAUAAAAGCAAAUAAAAUAAAAACCAGGAUAUCUUUUUUUCAUCAGCUAAAUUGGCAAAGGUUCUCUGAUAAAGAUAAUACCCACAAGGUUUGGGUCAAGGGUGUAAAAAAAUAGGCACUGAGUCUAUUUCCAUGAGGGGGGUGGGCAGUAAGAGUUGGUGCAAACUUUGAGGACAGCAGGUGACAGUAUGUAUCAAAAGCCUUUAUUCCCUCAGUGUUACAUCUCCUAAUUUCUUUUUUUUUUUUUUUCUUUUUAGGGCCGCACUUGAGGCAUAUGGAGGUUCUCAGGAUAAGGGUCAAAUUGGAAUUGUAGCUGCUGGCCUACAGCACAGCCACAGCAACACCAGAUCCAAGCCGUGUCUUCAAUCUACACAAGAGCUCACAGCAAUGCUGGAUCCUUAACCCACUGAUCGAGGUCAGGGAUGGAACCUACAUCCUCAUGGAUGCUAGUCAGAUUGGUUAAUGGCUGAGCCGCAACGGGAACUCCUCCUGAUUUUUUAUCCUAAGGAAAAUAUUCGCAGAUUAUCCAAUGAAUGAUUUCUACGAGAGAAGGAAUGGGGGAGCUUCAAGCCUGAGCCUGGAGUCAGACAGGCUGAUUCUGCAUCUGCCAUCUGUGGGACCCAAGGGUUAUGUGGGGACCAUCCGCUCAGCGGCUGUGUGACCUUAGGCAAGUUAUUUAUAGCCUCCACUCGGCAUGUUCCUCAUCUGUAAAACGGUGAUGAUAAUAGGAUUAACCAGGAGGGAUGCCGGGAAGAGUAAAUGUGAAAAGGCACACAAGCACUUAGCAGAGUCCCCAUAUCUGGGGAGGCUUCAAUAUAUGAAAGCCAAAGAGCGAAAAAGAGUAUUGUGUUCAGUCCAGCAUCAUUUACAAAGGUAAAAAAAGCAAAAGAGAAAAUGCCCAAGUGAUUUAAAAUAAAUACAGAGGAGAAAGACCACCGCCACUCUGAAAAGCAUGUUGCAGAUGAGCGGUUAAUGGCAUGGAAAAUGAUCCCAGUGCAUGGUUAGGUGAAAAAAAGUUGGUUAUAAAUUGUACAUUCAAUAGAAUUCCAAUUUUAGGAAAAAAUAUAGAAAGAUAAUGCUGUGUAUUUUCCAUAAUGAACAUGCAUUUUAAAAAUAAUUUAGGGGGAGUUCUGGUUGUGGCGCAGCAGAAACAAAACCGACUAGUAAUCAUGAGGAUGCAGUUCGAUUCCUGGCCUCGCUCAGUGGGUUAGGGAUCCGGUGUUCCCAUGAGCUGUGGUGUAAGUUGCAGACAUGGCUCAGAUCCUGUGUUGCUGUGGCUGUAGGCUGGCAGCUGUAGCUCUGAUUCGAUCCCUAGCCUGGGAGUUUCCAUAUGCCUUGGGUGNAAAAAAAAAAAAAAAAAAAAAAAAAAAAGUAGGGAGUUCUCACUGUGGCACAGCAGGUUAAGGAUCUGGCAUGGUCUCUGUAGCGGCACAGGUUCAAUCCCCGGCCUGGUGCUGUGAGUUAAGAAUCUGGCAUUGCCGCAGUUGUGGCUGAGAUUCAAUUCCUGGCCCAGGAACUUCCAUAUGCAGCGAGUGCAGCUAAAAAAGAAAAAAAAAAUUAAUUAAAAAGUUAAAAAAAACCAACCCUGCAUAUUAUUUGUAGCAGACAUACAUGGGAAGCAUCACCCCCACUUCCUUGUAACAUUUUAGUUUUCUGUUUUUGGAAGUUACUGGGCCAUGGAUUGAACCCAUGUCACAGCAGUGGACAAUGCCAGAUCCUUAACCCUCUAGACGACCAGGGAACUCCUCCAGUUUCCUUAUGGGGAAAAAUCUUUCUUCCUCUGGUAGUUGUCUUAGUAGGAGGGCCAUUUGUUGCUCCCAAAUCCACCUCUCAUGUAGCGAACCUGAGAAGGCUUUGCCCCAGGAGUGUGGAUAAGUGGCAAGACAGUCUUGGUCUGGUGAUCUACACUGUGGGUGGGGAAGUGGGUGGGGCUGGCACUUCCUUGACCCUGCCCUUCCUCAAGCCCAGUCUCCCUCCUCCUACUGUGAUCACGAGUCCAUAUUAGCUUUCCCAUAAAUUCUUUUCUGUUUAAUUUAGCCAGAAUCUAUUUCUAUUGCUUGCAACUAAGAACGCUUACUAAUAAAGUAUUUUGAAUAACUAGAAAAUGAAUAAAACAAGCUGUACUUAAUGCAAGAGUAGCUGCAGGACCAUUCUUUGCAGGAAAGGUCUAAACCCAGGUGGGGCUGAGGGGGUCAGGAGGAAAGGCAUGACCACUGGAUGCUAAACAUCUGGCUGAAGACAAAAAAUUUGUGCAACAAUUUAGAUGUUCCAAAAUGUCAGCUGCUUGACAUCAGGUGGCAGGUGAUGAUUGCUAUUCAUUGAUUUUGUGAUUUGGGUUGAUUUACAAUUUAGAAGAGUAAACUAAACGAAAAUGAACAAAGACCCUAAGCAUGAUACUAAUUACCCAUGUGUCCUGCAUUAUGAAACCACAGACCAAUAGCUAAUAUGCUCUCCAACUGGAAUCCGGGAGAAUGAUAUGAACCACAGCCUUCUUUUUAUGCUUUUUUUUUUUUAAGGGGGGGGUCUUUUUAGGGCUGCACCCAUAUGGAAGUUCUUAGGCUAGGGAUGGAAUUGGAGCUGCAGCUGCUGGCCUACGCCACAACCACAGCAAUGCUGGAUCCAAGCCUACAUCAUAGCUGUGGCAAUGCCAGAUCCUUAACUCACUGAGCCAGGUGAGGGAUCAAGACUGAAUCCUCAUGGAUAUUAGUCGGGUUUGUAACCUGUUGAGCCACAAUGGGAACUCCUGGUAAGUUUUAAUAACAGCAAACGCCUGCAUAUACUCAUCUGCCUUGAAUUAAGGUAGCAUGACACCAUUUGUUUUUGAAACUUUUUGAAGCCUUCUAUUAAAAUGAUUACUGCCCUUGAUACAAGUGAUUUUCCUGGACAUUAGUCACACAUCCUCAGUGCUCACCUUUACAACAUUUCAGGACGGCUGGCUUCUAAAAUCUCUUGGCUCGCAUCAGUUAUUUUGCCAGUUUUUGUCUCUCUCAUGGAGAAGAUGCCUCCAACUGUGAGUCUGACCCAAGCUCUGGACAAGGUCUCCCAUGGACAAUACAGCAGAUUUAACAGAAAACAAUUUCUGGGAACAAUUAUUCUAAGUCUGAUUUCACUCAUUAUGCAGUUUUUCCUAAUUUGCAGUCAGUGCCGAUGAGGGCAGUAGGAAAAUGCAUGUGACACAAUUCUAUUUAAACCAGUAUUUCUCAGAGUUCCUGCUGCGGUGAAGUGGGUUAAGUUUCUGGUCUUGUCUCUGAGGCAGUGCAUGUUUGAUCCCCAGCCCUGCUCAUUGCAGUAGGUCGCAGUUGCAAUUCAGAUUCAAUCCCUAGCCUGGAAACUUCUUCAUGCCAUGGAGGCAGCCAAAAAGGAAAAAAACAAAAAAUAGCCCCUCCUAGAGUUCCUAUCACAGCUCAGCGUAAUGAACCCGACUAAUAUCCAUGGGGAAUCAAGGUCCAUCCUUGGCCUUGCUCAGGACUGAACCUGCGUUCUCAUGGAUACUAGUCAGGUUCAUUAACCAUCAAGCCUCGAUGGAAACUCCCCAUUUGCUUUUUUUUAACCUGCACCCGUGGCUUGUGAAGUUCCCCAGUCAGGGAUCAAAUCUGUGCCACAGUAGCGAUCUGAGCCACAGCAGUGAUGAUACUAGGUCCUUAACCUGCUGAGCCACCAGGGAACUCCUCAAGUUGCAUUUUCUGCAAAUUGCAAUUGGUAUGGUUGAACAUUUAAAAAUGUUAUCUUUGAGUAGCCUAUCCAUGUCCCUGGUCCAUUUUCCUUCUGGGUUUUCAUCUUUCUUGUUAAUUUCUAAGUGCUCCAUGUGUGUUAGGGAUAAAAGCUCUCUCUCUCUCCCUCCCCCAGCCAUACCUGAGGCAUGUGGGAGUUCCUGGGCCAGGGAUUGAACCUGUGCCAUAGCAGUGCCAAGCUGCUGCAGUAAUGCUGGAUUCUUAACCUGCUAUGCCACAAUGGAACUCCAUAUAUUAGCUUUUUAAUAUCAUGUGUGACAAAUUUCAAUAAUCACUUAUUCACAAUUCCACUAUCUAAAAAGCUCUAAAAUUAAGUAUUGUGCAUAUUGUGUAGGUUUGGUGCAACUCUUUUUUUUUGGGGGGGGGUCUUUUUAGGGCCACACUGGAGGCGUUUGGAAGUUCCCAAGCUAGGGGUCAAAUUGGAGCUAUAGCUGCCAGCCUACACCACAGCCACAGCAACACCACAUACGAGCUGAGUCUGCGACCAAGGCUCAUAGUAACGCUGGAUGCUUAACCCACUGAGCUGGGCCAGGGAUUGAAUCUGCAUUCUCAUGGAUACCAGUCGGAUUCAUUACCGCUGAGCCACAAUGGGAAUUUUGGUGCAAUUCUUUUGAUAACAAAACAUGGCCCUGGCCAACAUGAGACAUUUUUUCAGUCUUUGUAUAUAUUCCACCGAAUGUGAAUAGAGGUCUAUUUUGCUGAAGAGAAAAACCAUGUUUGUUAACAAGGUGCUGGCCUAGACCUCAAUGGGCCUGCUAUUUACAUACUACAUAUUAUCUUUUUUUGUUUGUUUGUUUUGCCAUUUCUUGGGCCGCUCCCGCGGCAUAUGGAGGUUCCCAGGCUAGGGGUCGAAUCGGAGCUGCAGCCACUGGCCUACGCCAGAGCCACAGCAACGUGGGACCCGAGCCGCGUCUGCAACCUACGCGCCACAGCUCAUGGCAAUGCCGGAUCGUUAACCCACUGAGCGAGGCCAGAGAUUGAACCUGCAACCUCAUGGUUCCUAGUAGGAUUCGUUUCCACUGUGCCACAAUGGGAACUCCCGUGUUACCUUUUCUAAAUUCUGAAAAACUCAGCAGUGUGCUCAGCAGUUCCGCUGAUCUGACUCUUGCUUCAACUUGUGUUUGGAUGGAACAGACCCAGGGAUGCCCCUGGCUCCAGCCUCCAACUACCCUCCAGCCUUUUUUCCAGCUGCAACCUUUGGAAUUAAC